This 403-nucleotide ribosomal RNA is filed under the name uncultured bacterium. RNAcentral describes it as "bacterial SSU rRNA". It matches the Rfam family "Bacterial small subunit ribosomal RNA", at positions 100 to 518 of the family's 1533-position model. The record is from RNAcentral.
GGAGGUAACGGACGUCGGGCGAACCUACGCCUCCAUACUGGGGGAUAGCAGUUGGAAACGACUGAUAAUACCGCAUAAGCGCACAGCAUCGCAUGAUGCAGUGUGAAAAAACUCCGGUGGUAUGAGAUGGGCCCGCGUCAGAUUAGCCAGUUGGCAGGGUAACGGCCUACCAAAGCGACGAUCUGUAGCCGGCCUGAGAGGGCGGACGGCCACAUUGGGACUGAGACACGGCCCAAACUCCUACGGGAGGCAGCAGUGGGGGAUAUUGCACAAUGGAGGAAACUCUGAUGCAAGCGACGCCGCGUGAGUGAAGAAGUAUUUCGGUAUGUAAAACUCUAUCAGCAGGGAAGAUAAUGACGGUACCUGACUAAGAAGCCCCGGCUAACUACGUGCCAGCCGCAGC